AUGCUCAGCUGGUGGGGAGAUGUCAUCAUCAUGAGGUGGCUUUGCCAUGAUGAGUCUUAUGCAUUGCACCCCAAUGUGCUGACUCCCAUGAUUUUCUCAAAUUCAGCAAACCUGAAUGCUUCCUUUGUGCUAGUGGGGACUGUGUUAUUACUCUUCCCUG
Small nuclear RNA from Peromyscus maniculatus bairdii (prairie deer mouse), 160 nucleotides. Its record names the gene U1. It matches the Rfam family "U1 spliceosomal RNA". From Rfam's summary of the family: U1 is a small nuclear RNA (snRNA) component of the spliceosome (involved in pre-mRNA splicing). Its 5' end forms complementary base pairs with the 5' splice junction, thus defining the 5' donor site of an intron. The record is from Ensembl. Lineage: Eukaryota; Metazoa; Chordata; Mammalia; Rodentia; Cricetidae.